UGCCUGGUUAUAUUGAACCGGCUUUUCAAUAAACCCGCGAUACAUGGACGGUCAAUAUUUACAUCAAGCAUGAGUUUUGCUUGACAAUUGACCUCCAUGGAAAAGGUACCGCGGACAUGAACUGACUAAUUUACUAUAGGAUAGUGUGAGAGUUUUAUUCGACUACGGUAAAUUAGCAUCUAAUCCCAGAAAGAGUGCAAUUUAUGCUGUAAAUCUCUAAAAAAUUAGACACUUUGAAAUGGCUAGUGCUUUAGAUUCCCGAAGAACAUCAGCGGUCGCCGAGUCGAUGGCCAGCCGUCCGUACUCCGAUGCAACGUGGAUGACUCAAGGUGGAGCAAACCCAAUGGGGAAAGGGCAGAUUUUAUUCACAGGUCCAAGCGGGAUCAGGGAUUACAAAGUGAAAGUGGUGACCGAUGACAGAAUGGUAGGGAUCGGGACGAUGUCUCCAGAAGGUACUAGUGCCCUUCAGUAUAUCUGGAGAGGUGCCCCUGGUGCUGCCCCGCCCAGGAGAAGGUCACAGUGGGUGGGGGAGGUGGGUUGGUUCAUCCCGCCUUUCCAUGAUUACAAGAAUACAUUAUCUGGAAAUCAAAUACAGCUCAAAGUAUUCAGAAAGGCACAAGAAGAAAAAUACACUCACAGAUUCCAAGAGCCAUGCACACUUUACAAGGAUUAUGAAAGUACCUCCACCCUAAACACUCAGACUACAAAGAAUCGUUGCCUUUCACACAAGGAUCGAAACAAAACUGGGGACCCCCCAGCAACUGGCGACCCCCUGGCCAACAACGGAGCACGGAACAGCUCCCUCCCCGCCCUCACACCGUCGCCGGCUUCCAUUCUGACGACACACUCCCCAACGUUAGCAACAAUGCAGCAAGCUCGCGACCCGUCACAGCGCAACCCACCUCAUCGGAAAACAUCAGUCGUCCUGCCAGCGGUAACAGCUACUCAUCAGCACAGUCAGCUCACUUCAGAUCGGCGUCCGUCGCAAGCCCGCACCACUCCCCGCCCGGGAGCCGACCAGGGAGUGGGGGCGGCCAUGGGCAAUACAACCGUGAAUCGUCAGCGUACAGCAGCCAUUCGAGGGGGUCCCAGUCGUCGUUAAGAAGCAGGGCUAGUUCACAUACGUCACAUCAAUCAAGACGAAGAAUUACCCCUGCUGCCACCAGUGUCAGUUCAGCGUACAGAGCGCCAACGUCCGAUCCAGAGUACUAGCCUACAUGUAUAGUGGGCAUCCUAUCCUGUACCUAUUCCUCUCCACUCGUGGCAAUAUUAACAUUAUUUAAAGGACAAAUAUGUGGAGAUAAGACGAACAUAAUAUUACCUGUCUUCCUCUUCCUAGCACCAAUUGAUGUUUCUUAUUUGAGAUUUGUUUGCACGUCAUGUACGCAACUUCUCCAUUCCUAUGCAAUUUCUGAUGUCUUUCAUUAUAGAUCUCUGUAUUUUUAGAUAUUUUUUUUUCUUUACUCGUCAUGUAUACUAGAAUUUUCUGAGACUUCUGAUGUUUUAAUCAUAUUCUCAAUGAAUUUGAUAAAGUUAUUAUAAUUGCAUAAUACUUAAACUAUUUACUGGAUCACUAUGUAAUUCAUCUGAAAGGAAAAUUCAUAUAUAAUUUCAAAUAAGGUGUAGUUUACUUUGUCAAUUGUAGGAAAGUAGAUGUAUGCCCUGUUAAUUUCAGUUAACGACUCCAUGUGAUUAUUUAUUAUUAUCAAAGCUGCCUAAGUUUGUAAUGUAUGAUAUUAAAAUUGUAAAUAAAAAACUUUUGAAAACUGAUAUAACCAGUUGUUCAAUGCACAUACAGUAGAUU
Lytechinus variegatus (green sea urchin) is the source of this 1804-nucleotide RNA transcript. RefSeq lists it as uncharacterized. The transcript is spliced from 6 exons. The record is from RefSeq and is a predicted model, not a curated record. Lineage: Eukaryota; Metazoa; Echinodermata; Echinoidea; Temnopleuroida; Toxopneustidae.